Molecule: long non-coding RNA, 1175 nt
Organism: Canis lupus familiaris (dog)
Lineage: Eukaryota; Metazoa; Chordata; Mammalia; Carnivora; Canidae
Exons: 4
Source: RefSeq, a predicted model, not a curated record
GGUUUCUGGGAGUGCUAUAUGGAGAAGUCUAUGACCAUGACGUUCAAGAUCAGUCACAUCAAAUUGAUAUCUUCCACGGUCUAGAAGCAUCAAGUAACACUUUGCAUUUCACCGGCCAUCUCUUCUGAUUCAUUGUCAAACUUUUGGGAGUAUCACAAAGAAAGAGAAGUGGUGGUUGUCACUACUGAGAAUGAGGACAGAGAAAAGGCCACACUGUGUUUGGCACAAGGAGAGCCCUUCAGUCCUCUGGGACAGCAGAUAUUGAGAGUGACAGGAAGAUCUGGGGCCGGAGAGUUUUCAUAUCUGCUUCCAAGACAGCCUGCUUUGCUUUCUUCAUUAAGCCAAAGAUGUGCAGAAAAGAUGUUCCACUGAAAGUAUUCAAAGUGCCUUCAUGUGUUGUCUAAUUCUUUUUCCUGCUCUUAUAAAGGAAACACUAUUCGAUAGCAAUCACCUAAGAAAGGAAGGGCUGAGUGUUUCCGUCAUUCUUCCAUUGUAUUUUAAUUUUUUCUUUUACUUUUUCACUUCCACUCUGGUAUCAUGUGUAUAUGAAUCAUUGCACAUUUAUGCAAUUAAUCAUUAAUUGUUUCAAUAGUAUUUUCUAUUUUAAAAAGCAUUACAUAUUCCAACUAAUCAAAAUCACAGUUACUCCUGAGAAUUUAAACAACAUGGAGAUAAAAUAAAGAAGGAGAGGUCUUAAGAUGCUUUAUAUAAUGCAUGGGCAUAACCAUGGCUAAUGGUCUGGAAGACAUCUUUCCAGACUUAUGUUUAUAUAUACAUAAAACAAAAAUGGGACCAUAUAUUGUGGAUACCAUGCAGCUGUUUCCUUUGUUCCCUUAAUAUAUCAGACAUAUCUUUUAAGAUUUUAUUUACUUAUUUAUUUUAGAUAGAGUGCAUGUGCAUGCACACACCAGUGGGGAGACGGGCAGAGGGAAAGGGGGAAGGACAAGCAGGCUCCUCGCUAUCUGACAUCUUUCCCCUUUACCUAAUUUAUCCUCAUGCUAGUUUCCCUGGAAGAUGCCACUAGGAAAUGCCCUCUUGUCAUUUAUUUCUUUUUACCCUGCCAUAGUCUGCAGAGGGUUGCUGCUAUGAAAAGAGCUCUGAGAGGGGCUCCCAACUGGCUCCAUUGGUAGAGCACAUGACUCCUGCUCUUGAUAUUGUGAGCUUGAGCCUCAUGU